This 384-nucleotide ribosomal RNA is filed under the name uncultured bacterium. RNAcentral's name for it is "bacterial SSU rRNA". It matches the Rfam family "Bacterial small subunit ribosomal RNA", at positions 28 to 399 of the family's 1533-position model. The record is from RNAcentral.
GACGAACGCUGGCGGCGUGCUUAACACAUGCAAGUCGAGCGGUAAGGCCUCUUCGGAGGUACACGAGCGGCGAACGGGUGAGUAACACGUGGGUGACCUGCCCUCAGCUCUGGGAUAAGCCCGGGAAACUGGGUCUAAUACCGGAUACGACUUUUCCUCGCAUGGGGAUUUGUGGAAAGCCCUGGUCUUCAUCGGUUGGGGUGGCUGGGGAUGGGCCCGCGGCCUAUCAGCUUGUUGGUGGGGNGAUGGCCUACCAAGGCGACGACGGGUAGCCGGCCUGAGAGGCGACCGGCCACACUGGGACUGAGACACGGCCCAGACUCCUACGGGAGGCAGCAGUGGGGAAUAUUGCGCAAUGGGCGAAAGCCUGACGCAGCGACGCCG